Alosa sapidissima (American shad) is the source of this 95-nucleotide long non-coding RNA. RefSeq lists it as uncharacterized. NCBI's taxonomy places the organism in Eukaryota, Metazoa, Chordata, Actinopteri, Clupeiformes, Clupeidae. The transcript has 4 exons. The record is from RefSeq and is a predicted model, not a curated record.
UUAGGGUAAGUAGAAAUAAUGUAUAACGUUAGGAAUCCCUGAUCAAUGUGAUUGGUUAGGCUGGACCACUGACUUCAAAGUUAAUGCAAAGUCUA